RNAcentral lists this ribosomal RNA (253 nucleotides) under uncultured bacterium. RNAcentral's name for it is "partial 16S ribosomal RNA". It matches the Rfam family "Bacterial small subunit ribosomal RNA", at positions 524 to 776 of the family's 1533-position model. RNAcentral also lists the same sequence under 2 other names. The record is from RNAcentral.
UACAGAGGGUGCAAGCGUUAAUCGGAAUUACUGGGCGUAAAGCGCGCGUAGGCGGCUGUCUAAGUCGGGUGUGAAAGCCCCGGGCUCAACCUGGGAACUGCAUUCGAUACUGGACGGCUAGAGUAUGAGAGAGGGAGGUAGAAUUCCACGUGUAGCGGUGAAAUGCGUAGAUAUGUGGAGGAAUACCGGUGGCGAAGGCGGCCUCCUGGUUCAAUACUGACGCUGAGGUGCGAAAGCGUGGGGAGCAAACAGG